AUUGAACGCUGGCGGCAGGCCUAACACAUGCGAGUCGAGCGGAUGAAGGGAGCUUGCUCCUGGAUUCAGCGGCGGACGGGUGAGUAAUGCCUAGGAAUCUGCCUGGUAGUGGGGGAUAACGUCCGGAAACGGGCGCUAAUACCGCAUACGUCCUGAGGGAGAAAGUGGGGGAUCUUCGGACCUCACGCUAUCAGAUGAGCCUAGGUCGGAUUAGCUAGUUGGUGGGGUAAAGGCCUACCAAGGCGACGAUCCGUAACUGGUCUGAGAGGAUGAUCAGUCACACUGGAACUGAGACACGGUCCAGACUCCUACGGGAGGCAGCAGUGGGGAAUAUUGGACAAUGGGCGAAAGCCUGAUCCAGCUAUGCCGCGUGUGUGAAGAAGGUCUUCGGAUUGUAAAGCACUUUAAGUUGGGAGGAAGGGCAGUAAGUUAAUACCUUGCUGUUUUGACGUUACCAACAGAAUAAGCACCGGCUAACUUCGUG
RNAcentral lists this ribosomal RNA (484 nucleotides) under uncultured bacterium. Its description in RNAcentral is "partial 16S ribosomal RNA". It matches the Rfam family "Bacterial small subunit ribosomal RNA", at positions 30 to 507 of the family's 1533-position model. The record is from RNAcentral.